UUGGAGCUGUCAUUCCACAUUUAUCAGUAUUCACCUUGGUCAGUAGGGGGCAGUAGAGCGUUUCUUCCUAAUUGAAUGCUAUUACCUGCAGACCGGAAGCUCCUUGUCAUUCUGAUGAGAGCGACCAGGCUGUAAACAACUGGAAUGUUCUGUGUGCUUUUUCCUCCAGUUUAACAGGUGUCGUGUUUGAUGUUGUCGAUGGACGGCAGGAUGAUCCUGGUGCGGUCCUGCUUGAUUCUGGACAGAACCGGUUCGGCCCUGAAGAGAAAUACAAUGUGUCUUACCAGAAUGGGGUAAACUCCACGUGGGCGUCAAAGAAGCCCGUCACCUCGGCGGUAGCCACCUUCCAGCCCUCCAUUCUGGCCCGGAUCAGCCCCUCCCUCUUAUGGUUCCUGACAAUCUUGACCAGGCCCGGGUAACGCUUCUUCACAUAUUCCUCCAGAGGUCCUUUCAGCUGCUCUGGAAGCCAUUAAACACAACAUCAGCAUCUUCAUGUAGCCAGGAACUGCUCCCCCUGCUGGCAUGAGAGAUAACUACAAGACUCUAACAGACGCCAACCUUUAUUGUGUAUCGUUGUUAAGAAAUGUUACGAAUACACAAUUCAUAAUUUAUAUUAUGUUGAUUUAUUUAUUGGCUUAUCUUAUGAGGUAUGUAAAGUAACAAACUCAGCCCAACAUGUGUGGCUAAUUUAAUUGACAA
Molecule: long non-coding RNA, 699 nt
Organism: Entelurus aequoreus (snake pipefish)
Lineage: Eukaryota; Metazoa; Chordata; Actinopteri; Syngnathiformes; Syngnathidae
Exons: 3
Source: RefSeq, a predicted model, not a curated record